UCCGUAGGGUGCAAGCGUUGUCCGGAAUUAUUGGGCGUAAAGAGCUCGUAGGCGGUUUGUCGCGUCUGCUGUGAAAACUCGGGGCUUAACCCCGGGCCUGCAGUGGGUACGGGCAGACUAGAGUGCGGUAGGGGAGACUGGAAUUCCUGGUGUAGCGGUGAAAUGCGCAGAUAUCAGGAGGAACACCGGUGGCGAAGGCGGGUCUCUGGGCCGUAACUGACGCUGAGGAGCGAAAGCAUGGGGAGCGAACAGG
This 253-nucleotide ribosomal RNA is filed under the name uncultured bacterium. RNAcentral's name for it is "partial 16S ribosomal RNA". It matches the Rfam family "Bacterial small subunit ribosomal RNA", at positions 524 to 776 of the family's 1533-position model. The record is from RNAcentral.